Molecule: ribosomal RNA, 481 nt
Filed under: uncultured bacterium
Lineage: Bacteria
Description: partial 16S ribosomal RNA
Rfam family: Bacterial small subunit ribosomal RNA
Source: RNAcentral
GAUGAACGCUGGCGGCGUGCUUAACACAUGCAAGUCGAACGAAGCACUUUAUUUGAUUUCCUUCGGGACUGAUUAUUUUGUGACUGAGUGGCGGACGGGUGAGUAACGCGUGGGUAACCUGCCUUGUACAGGGGGAUAACAGUUGGAAACGGCUGCUAAUACCGCAUAAGCGCACAGCAUCGCAUGAUGCAGUGUGAAAAACUCCGGUGGUAUAAGAUGGACCCGCGUUGGAUUAGCUAGUUGGUGAGGUAACGGCCCACCAAGGCGACGAUCCAUAGCCGACCCGAGAGGGUGACCGGCCACAUUGGGACUGAGACACGGCCCAAACUCCUACGGGAGGCAGCAGUGGGGAAUAUUGCACAAUGGGCGAAAGCCUGAUGCAGCGACGCCGCGUGAGCGAAGAAGUAUUUCGGUAUGUAAAGCUCUAUCAGCAGGGAAGAUAAUGACGGUACCUGACUAAGAAGCACCGGCUAAAUACGUG